UUCAUACUCGUGGCGAAAAGCUCAGUAACACGUGGCCAAACUACCCUACAGAGAACGAUAACCUCGGGAAACUGAGGCUAAUAGUUCAUACGGGAGUCAUGCUGGAAUGCCGACUCCCCGAAACGCUCAGGCGCUGUAGGAUGUGGCUGCGGCCGAUUAGGUAGACGGUGGGGUAACGGCCCACCGUGCCGAUAAUCGGUACGGGUUGUGAGAGCAAGAGCCCGGAGACGGAAUCUGAGACAAGAUUCCGGGCCCUACGGGGCGCAGCAGGCGCGAAACCUUUACACUGCACGCAAGUGCGAUAAGGGGACCCCAAGUGCGAGGGCAUAUAGUCCUCGCUUUUCACGACUGUAAGGCGGUCGUGGAAUAAGAGCUGGGCAAGACCGGUGCCAGCCGCCGCGGUAAUACCGGCAGCUCAAGUGAUGACCGAUAUUAUUGGGCCUAAAGCGUCCGUAGCCGGCCACGAAGGUUCAUCGGGAAAUCCGCCAGCUCAACUGGCGGGCGUCCGGUGAAAACCACGUGGCUUGGGACCGGAAGUCUCGAGGGGUACGUCCGGGGUAGGAGUGAAAUCCCGUAAUCCUGGACGGACCACCGAUGGCGAAAGCACCUCGAGAAGACGGAUCCGACGGUGAGGGACGAAAGCUAGGGUCUCGAACCGGAUUAGAUACCCGGGUAGUCCUAGCUGUAAACGAUGCUCGCUAGGUGUGACACAGGCUACGAGCCUGUGCUGUGCCGUAGGGAAGCCGAGAAGCGAGCCGCCUGGGAAGUACGUCCGCAAGGA
This 781-nucleotide ribosomal RNA is filed under the name Haloferax sp. RNAcentral describes it as "bacterial SSU rRNA". It matches the Rfam family "Archaeal small subunit ribosomal RNA", at positions 69 to 849 of the family's 1478-position model. Lineage: Archaea; Methanobacteriati; Methanobacteriota; Halobacteria; Halobacteriales; Haloferacaceae. The record is from RNAcentral.